AUUGAACGCUGGCGGCAGGCUUAACACAUGCAAGUCGAGCGGGGUGAUGGUGCUUGCACUAUCACUUAGCGGCGGACGGGUGAGUAAUGCUUAGGAAUCUGCCUAUUAGUGGGGGACAACAUCUCGAAAGGGAUGCUAAUACCGCAUACGUCCUACGGGAGAAAGCAGGGGAUCACUUGUGACCUUGCGCUAAUAGAUGAGCCUAAGUCGGAGUAGCUAGUUGGUGGGGGAAAGGCCUACCAAUGGGACGAUCUGUAGCGGUGUCUGAGAGGAUGAUCCGCCACACUGGGACUGAGAAACGGCCCAGACUCCUACGGGAGGCAGCAGUGGGGAAUAUUGGACAAUGGGGGGAACCCUGAUCCAGCCAUGCCGCGUGUGUGAAGAAGGCCUUAUGGUUGUAGAGCACUUUAAGCGAGGAGGAGGCUCUUUUGGUUAAUACCCAAGAUGAGUGGACGUUACUCGCAGAAUAAGCACCGGCUAACUCUGUGCCAGCAGCCGCGGUAA
Molecule: ribosomal RNA, 504 nt
Filed under: uncultured bacterium
Lineage: Bacteria
Description: partial 16S ribosomal RNA
Rfam family: Bacterial small subunit ribosomal RNA
Source: RNAcentral